Molecule: ribosomal RNA, 497 nt
Filed under: uncultured bacterium
Lineage: Bacteria
Description: partial 16S ribosomal RNA
Rfam family: Bacterial small subunit ribosomal RNA
Source: RNAcentral
GAUGAACGCUGGCGGCGUGCCUAAUACAUGCAAGUCGAGCGAACAGACGAGGAGCUUGCUCCUCUGACGUUAGCGGCGGACGGGUGAGUAACACGUGGAUAACCUACCUAUAAGACUGGGAUAACUUCGGGAAACCGGAGCUAAUACCGGAUAAUAUAUUGAACCGCAUGGUUCAAUAGUGAAAGACGGUUUUGCUGUCACUUAUAGAUGGAUCCGCGCCGCAUUAGCUAGUUGGUAAGGUAACGGCUUACCAAGGCAACGAUGCGUAGCCGACCUGAGAGGGUGAUCGGCCACACUGGAACUGAGACACGGUCCAGACUCCUACGGGAGGCAGCAGUAGGGAAUAUUACGCAAUGGGCGAAAGCAUGACGGAGCAACGCCGCGUGAGUGAUGAAGGUCUUCGGAUCGUAAAACUCUGUUAUUAGGGAAGAACAAAUGUGUAAGUAAAUAUGCACGUAUUGACGGUACCUAAUCAGAAAGCCACGGCUAACUACGUG